Molecule: ribosomal RNA, 412 nt
Filed under: uncultured bacterium
Lineage: Bacteria
Description: bacterial SSU rRNA
Rfam family: Bacterial small subunit ribosomal RNA
Source: RNAcentral
CCGGCAAGCACGGGGGCAACCCUGUGGCGAGUGGCGAACGGGUAGUAAUACAUCGGAACGUGUCCUGUAGCGGGGGAUAACCUCUCGAAAGAGAGGCUAAUACCGCAUACGACCUACGGGUGAAAGAGGGGGAUCGCAAGACCUCUCACUAUAGGAGCGGCCGAUGUCGGAUUAGCUAGUUGGUGGGGUAAAAGCCUACCAAGGCUACGAUCCGUAGCUGGUCUGAGAGGACGACCAGCCACACUGGAACUGAGACACGGUCCAGACUCCUACGGGAGGCAGCAGUGGGGAAUUUUCCGCAAUGGGCGAAAGCCUGACGGAGCCAUACCGCGUGGGGGAGGAAGGCUCUUGGGUUGUAAACCCCUUUUCUCUGGGAAGAAAGUGUGAAAGCAACCUGACGGUACGAGAGGAA